UAUUGCCCCACAAUACAAGCGCGCGAGCACACACACAGCCCGUGGCCCUCUCCACCAGGUAGACACAUCCCCAUACACACCUCGCGCGGCCACACACAUACAUAUACACGCACAAACAAACACAUCCACGAAAGCCGGACGCGGACACACCCCCUCCCCUUUUUCUCGCUCUCCCCCCUUCCCCUCCCUCCAGCCUCACCUUCCGCCCCCUGCGGUUACCUCCUCCCUCCCCGGGAGGCUGUGGGACUGAGCCGGAGCCCGAGCGGCUCAAGAUACGAUGCGAGGAGGGAGGAAGAGGUUCACUCAGUACCGCUGCAGGCGGGUGAGGGUCACCGGCUGGAGCCGGUGCCGCUGGCGGCUCGCCACUCUCCCAGUCAGUGGGCUGGGGCGGCCAUCACGCAUCCAUCCCUUCGGCCAUCGGCAAGAGAGCCUGCGCGUAGGAGAAGCACGCCCUUAUCGAGCACCGAGUUAUCGAGUGAAGCACGGAGGCGGGGAGGGAGGAGAAAGGAGGGCGAAGAGGCAGAGGGAGAUGAGGAAACCAAGGCCCGUGGAAGAAGCAAACUAGCCCAAGGUCACACAUUUGAUAGUAAAAGUCAUAGAGUCUACAUGCCCUGUAGGGCAAAUAAGAUCAAAUGCUAGCCUAGAACAAAAUGUGAAUGAGCAAACUUCUUAAUGUAGCCUUAACAACUCACCUGGAAUUAGGGGGGGAAAUGAGUUAACAGGGUAAUAGGACAUCCUGGGGCCACUGCCAUGGAACUCUCCAAGGAAAGACAAGUCCUAAUGAUCUGAAAACCAACGAAGGAAUCUAAUGAGGCAAAAAGAAGGCCAUUGUCUCUUUGUCCAGGAAGUCAGUCAAGGCUAGUACUUUUCAAAGCAGAAGCCACAAAAAAUCAGUAUGAGAGAAGGAGGCAAUAACUGCAAGGAAGUAAUUUAUGCUCUACACCUCAACUUCAUCACCUGGUACUGGAGAGGGAAGGAAAUUAAAUAUUCUCAAGAUCCCUUUCAGUUCUAAAUAUCAUAAAAUUCUAUGAAAUUUUGGAUCUGCAGAGGAAAAUACCUUUUCAAUUAAGAGGACCUUAUCCAGAGAUAAAAAUGAGGUAGCAGGUUUUAGAAGGGACUAAAAGAUUUUAGAAUCUUUUGACCUGAAUCUAAACCUGAGUUUAGGCCUAGCACGCAACCCAGAUGAGGACAAAAGAACAAAGUAAAUGAAGAGGAACUUAGAAAGAGAAGAUCACAUUCUGUUUAUGUCUCAUGGAAGAUGAAGGUUAACUUUGAAGAUGUAUUGUAACUUCAAUCAAUUGAUCAAUAAACAUUUUUGAGCAUCCUCUCUGUUCUAGGCA
RNAcentral lists this long non-coding RNA (1340 nucleotides) under Monodelphis domestica (gray short-tailed opossum). RNAcentral describes it as "lncRNA (ENSMODG00000046856.1)". Lineage: Eukaryota; Metazoa; Chordata; Mammalia; Didelphimorphia; Didelphidae. The record is from RNAcentral.